RNAcentral lists this long non-coding RNA (2788 nucleotides) under Malus domestica (apple). RNAcentral describes it as "long non-coding RNA (MDOM_LNC013302)". The record is from RNAcentral. Lineage: Eukaryota; Viridiplantae; Streptophyta; Magnoliopsida; Rosales; Rosaceae.
CGUUUAAGCGUAUAACAUUUAUAUGAGAUGGCUUCAAACAAUAAUCUUUUCCCUUUAAAUUAAACUAUAUUAAUUUAACAUGUGAAAUGUCCAUAAAGUGUGAUCAUAUGAUUGGUUUUAGGGCACAUUUCCAACAUCCAUAUCCAUCAUCGGAAUUCGAGAGUUUUGGUGGAAACUCUUUGUAGGGUAUGGGAGACUCACUAUUACCAAGCCCACCUCACAAUGAUAUGAUGUUGGCUAGGAACAAUAAUAAUGAGAGUGUACGCUUAUUCAUUUACAUCUCAUGUAAGUACCCAUCUUAUUUGGCCUCUAGAGAAUGAAGCCUCACGAUGAUAUGAUGUUGGCUCCAUUGCACUUAGUUAAGUCAUUCCCACCAUGCAAGUUCAGGUAAGGGUUCAAGAACAACCUCACAAUGAUAUGAUGUUGAUCAUUCUCGUUGCCUACCUUCACAACAUCAUGUAUGUGUAUAGGACUCCUCCUGAGUGUAAGCACGCACUUUGUACUCCCCCAUGAUAGGGUGAAGUCGGUGUACGAGUCACAAACAAUCGGAGCCUACCACGGUGGAAGGCCAUGAAAAAGUUAUCAAAGCACGCUAAUGCUUGUCAACUUAAUAAUUGUUUAGUUGAGGGUUUUUAGGUCUCAUCACAUAUUAGCAUACAUUUUAAUCUUAUUAAAACAAUUUGGUCAUAUUACAACUAUUGGUCCAUAUGAUUAAUUUAGUAGUAUAUGAUACUCCCCCACUAUGCUUGUAAAACGGUUUUAAAGCAAGAAUAUAUGGUACUACUAACAUAAGCUUUGCAUUCAUUGAUGGACUAUAUAGUUGCCUUAGGGCCUUAGGAUGACUAUGAACUUUUGAUUCGAUCCAACACAAGCCUAGUAUUGGAUCUCGGUCUAGGGAUGGUGAUUGAUUUUAGUUACGCAUUUAAUCACAUUAAGGCAAGUUUUCUUAUUGGGCGUUGGACCCUACUACUCCAAUUUCAUGCAUAUCAAAUAAAACAAGAAGGGAGUACUUCAAAGUAAAGAAGAGCUUAUGCACUUUUACAACAUUUGAUCAAAACAAAUUACUUUAAAGUAAAGAAGAGCUUAUGCUCUAUUACAACAUUUGAUCAUAUCAAAUUACAACCAAAAUAUAAUCUACACAUUCCCAUGGUUCAAACAAAUUUGAGAGACGGCCUUUUACAUAGCUCAAUUAGCAUAGGCUUUGGUUCAUAAUCACCCUUUAAUUAAUUAAAGCUUUAACUAAUUAAACUUGAAUUCAACAUUUUCAUUUGGUUUUUGUAUCCAUAGAAUUUAUUUAAAUAGAGCUAAAUGAAAUGAAAAUUCAAUUCUCAUUUAAAGAGACAAAACCAUUUUGUUCUCAACCUAAUUUGGGCCAAAAUGCAAUAACCUCAACUUUUGGGCUAUAUUGCAAAACACAAACUUUUGGGGUCACUUUGUAAAAACACAAAAGUCCACUACUUCAUGUAAUUAUAACUAGAACCCAAAAUUUUCAUCAAACAAAAAAAAACUUCAUUAAAGGAACAAAACAAUUUGUCCUUUAGUGAUUUUGGGCCUUUCACUUCCAAGCCUUUCGACGUCUUUGUGAAGAUUAUGAGUAUUAGAUGUUGUUAGUAUCACAUUUCUACCCCCUAGACUAACGAUUAGCCUGAAACAAGUUACUCAGACCUUAGUGGACGAAUUGCAUCUUGUUCGUUCCACCAUUAGCUUGGUUGUUACAUACCAUUAUCUUUAUUUUAGUUGCUUGUAACCACAGUUACAAUUUUGGUUUAGCUAUGGUACCAUUGGAGUUGACAUACAGACACUUUAUGCACAGUGCAUACUUGAUAGACACUUACUUUUGUUAGAGUUAUGGGUAACUACGGUUACAUUCCUGCUUAGGAGUAUUUGAAUGAUCGGGAUUGUGAUGUAGAAAUUUAAUGUUAUUGACGAUGUAUGCAUAUUUUCCAAUGGGAGGCAUGAUGGUAAUAUUGCACCCUUGGGAAUUGUUACUUGCUUAUCGAUACAACAGUGAGUUGUCGGUAUUGCGGGCUACAUACCGCAAUAUCAAUAACUUAUUUGUUGGGUUUGUUAAGCAAGUAAACAAGUAGGUCAUUCUACGUUAGUAUUUGUAUUUAUUUAUUUAAUUAGUUAUUUAUUGUUUGGGCUUGACCUAAAGAUAAUACAUGCUUAUUUUUUAAGUACGUUACGCUAUGAGUGCGUUUGUGAAAAAUAUUUUAUGUUCGCUUUUGAUUUCAGUGCAACUAUUUUAACUUCACUUCACUACAUACAUAUUCUGAUGUUAUGUUUUAUACGUCUAUUUUUGGGCCCUAUGUUUUAAUGAAAUAUUAUAUUUUUGGCAUGAUAAUGAAGGAGAAGGAGAGUUUGAGCUUGGAGGCAUGAAAGAGGAAUCACUGCACUCCGAUCGCGACGGAAUGGCAUUCUCUUUUAUGCAACCGCUCUAGUUUGAUUUCUUCUUUAUGUGUACAUAUUCGUACGAUCUUUCGGAGCAUUUUAUGUAUAACUAGUGAUUUCAAAUUUCGGGGACGAAAUUUUUUAAGGUAGGUAGAUUGUGAUGACCCGUCCUUAAUUUUAUGUUUUUAUAAAUUUUAAAAGCGUGAUUUUACGAAAAUGCCCUUAGAGGCGAGGGUAUUGACUUUCGUUGAUCAACAUUUAGUGAGAUGUAUGAAAUAUUCCUUUAGCGUAUUCCUGAAGUACUCGACAAUAAGGGCUCGUAGGAGCAAGCAGAAGAGGAUUUGGAGUUACGGUUAAAGUUUUACGGAACUGUAAAACCGAGAAGUACUUUUGUAUU